CAAGAUUCAGUGCCAGGAGUUCUUAGUUGUCUUGUUUUUCAUAUCUAAUUGCUUUGUGGUCAGAGUCCGUGAUCUUUAGGAUAUGGAUUCUUUGGCAUUUGUAGGGACUUUCUCUCUGGCCCAGUGUAGCAGAUACUGCUGGCUCUGUCUAUAUCCCUUCUCCUCAUUCUUCUUACUCUUAGAACUUGGGUUUUGCUCAAGUUGUUAGUGUUUACCAUAAAAACAACAAACCAACCAAACAAAAGCAAAAACCUAACCAACUUUCUCUCUUAGUCUUUCCUGAAGGAAUGGUCAUGUCCCAGAACCCUGGCCCAUGGCAGGUAGGCAGAGUCACUGGUGCAGCUUCUGGGAAAGCUCUUGAAAAAGGGACAGUCCCAUGCUUGUUAUUUUCACUUUUUGUUCAUGGUCCUUCCUCCUCCUUUCCGCCUAGAAACUGGAUACAGAGCCUGGAGUUGGAAGGAGGUUACUUUGUAACCAGUGGGCAAAAGCUGCAGGUAAGGAUGGUGCAUCCAGAACAUAAGGCUCCUUGCUCCCCAGGGGGUUUCUUUGCUGUCCUUUUGUAUGAAUAUUCCACCAGCCCUGAACUGCUUAUUUCUAGACUCAUGUUACAUUAAGAAAAAAAAGAUAACUUUAAAAAAAAAUCCUCAAGGAUUUUUAUUUCAAUUACAAUCCUAAAGGAUUAUAAUUUCAUAGUGGGGGAGCUACUAGGAAUUUUUUUAUUACUCUUAAUUUUUAUUAAUCCCAGCUCAGUACAGUUACUUCUAGUGUGGCAGCCAUGAGAACCUGCCUCUUGGGUGAAUAUCUGGGGGCGUAGUUGGCUGAUGGCACUGGUUGCUACCCAUUCUAGGACCUACCUCUGGUGCUGUGCUAAAAUUACUCCUAGCAGUGACUAAGCAUGGCAGGAGUAAUAGUGCAAGCCCAUUCCUGUGGGUAGUAGGGCUCUUCUAGUGAUGCCUGUGGCCUGAAAACCCCCGCACUGGCCUGGCCCAAACCUGACUGUGCUGAGGUUUGAGACUCCAUACCCAGUCCUCCUUGACCAUUUUCCCUUUUUUCUGGCUGAAUUUGACAAUAAAUACCAAAAUAUGAAUAUAAGUCCUUGAUGACCUUGUCAAAGUUGAUUCUGUGACAUAUUGCCCACAAAAACCUGAUUAAAAUGGGUUCAGGACAAACUAGGAGAAAAAUUGGAGAUAGUAAAGAGAAAGAUUUUUAAUUCCUUAAUCUUAUUAAUUUAUUAUUAGUAGUAAAGCCAUGCCAGUUUUAUUUUGUUGUUAGUAUCUGUUAUGUAUUUCUCCAUUCUUCUCAUUCAAACCUGUGUACUUAAGCUUUAGAUAUGGCUCUUGUAAAUAGGAUGUAUGUAGCUGGAUGAAAAAAUCCAAUCUGAAAAUAUCUUUUAUUUGUAAACCAAUCUAAUCUUUUAUUAUGAUACCUAAUAUUUUGGAUUAAUUUAUACCAUUUUAAAGUCGUGAUUUCUAUUCUGUAUUUUUCUUUGAAAAUUGGAAAUAGAGAAGAUUUGACUAAAAUAUAUACAUAAA
RNAcentral lists this long non-coding RNA (1532 nucleotides) under Canis lupus familiaris (dog). Its description in RNAcentral is "lncRNA (ENSCAFG00845023074.1)". The record is from RNAcentral. Lineage: Eukaryota; Metazoa; Chordata; Mammalia; Carnivora; Canidae.